CACGUAGGGGGCAAGCGUUGUCCGGAUUUAUUGGGCGUAAAGAGCUCGUAGGCGGUUCGGUAAGUUGGGUGUGAAACCUCCAGGCUCAACCUGGAGACGCCACCCGAUACUGCUGUGACUAGAGUCCGGUAGGGGAGCGUGGAAUUCCUGGUGUAGCGGUGAAAUGCGCAGAUAUCAGGAGGAACACCAGCGGCGAAGGCGGCGCUCUGGGCCGGAACUGACGCUGAGGAGCGAAAGCAUGGGGAGCGAACAGG
RNAcentral lists this ribosomal RNA (254 nucleotides) under uncultured bacterium. Its description in RNAcentral is "partial 16S ribosomal RNA". It matches the Rfam family "Bacterial small subunit ribosomal RNA", at positions 524 to 776 of the family's 1533-position model. The record is from RNAcentral.